RNAcentral lists this ribosomal RNA (497 nucleotides) under uncultured bacterium. Its description in RNAcentral is "partial 16S ribosomal RNA". It matches the Rfam family "Bacterial small subunit ribosomal RNA", at positions 28 to 507 of the family's 1533-position model. The record is from RNAcentral.
GAUGAACGCUGGCGGCGUGCCUAAUACAUGCAAGUCGAGCGAACAGACGAGGAGCUUGCUCCUCUGACGUUAGCGGCGGACGGGUGAGUAACACGUGGAUAACCUACCUAUAAGACUGGGAUAACUUCGGGAAACCGGAGCUAAUACCGGAUAAUAUAUUGAACCGCAUGGUUCAAUAGUGAAAGACGGUUUUGCUGUCACUUAUAGAUGGAUCCGCGCCGCAUUAGCUAGUUGGUAAGGUAACGGCUUACCAAGGCAACGAUGCGUAGCCGACCUGAGAGGGUGAUCGGCCACACUGGAAGUGAGACACGGUCCAGACUCCUACGGGAGGCAGCAGUCGGGAAUCUUCCGCAAUGGGCGAAAGCCUGACGGAGCCACGCCGCGUGAGUGAUGAAGGUCUUCGGAUCGUAAAACUCUGUUAUUAGGGAAGAACAAAUGUGUAAGUAACUAUGCACGUCUUGACGGUACCUAAUCAGAAAGCCACGGCUAACUACGUG